GUUCCUACGGGACGCAGCAGUGAGGAAUAUUGGUCAACGGGCGCGAGCCUGAACCAGCCAAGUCGCGUGAGGGAAGACGGUCCUAUGGAUUGUAAACCUCUUUUGUCGGGGAGCAAAAGACGCCACGUGUGGCGUUCCGAGAGUACCCGAAGAAAAAGCAUCGGCUAACUCCGUGCCAGCAGCCGCGGUAAUACGGAGGAUGCGAGCGUUAUCCGGAUUCAUUGGGUUUAAAGGGUGCGCAGGCGGGCCUUUAAGCCGGCGGUGAAAACGCGGGGCUCCACCCCGCCGAGCCGUCCG
RNAcentral lists this ribosomal RNA (297 nucleotides) under uncultured bacterium. RNAcentral's name for it is "partial 16S ribosomal RNA". It matches the Rfam family "Bacterial small subunit ribosomal RNA", at positions 335 to 630 of the family's 1533-position model. The record is from RNAcentral.